GACAGAGGAUGCAAGCGUUAUCCGGAAUGAUUGGGCGUAAAGCGUCUGUAGGUGGCUUUUUAAGUCUGCCGUCAAAUCCCCGGGCUUAACCUGGGCACUGCAUUCAAAACUGCACGGCUAGAGUAUGGGAGAGGAAGGUAGAAUUCCAGGUGUAGCGGUGAAAUGCGUAGAGAUCUGGAGGAAUACCGAUGGCGAAGGC
This 199-nucleotide ribosomal RNA is filed under the name uncultured prokaryote. Its description in RNAcentral is "partial 16S ribosomal RNA". It matches the Rfam family "Bacterial small subunit ribosomal RNA", at positions 524 to 722 of the family's 1533-position model. The record is from RNAcentral.